UAAGAUAAUUUUUGCUAUAAACUACUCUUAACUUCUUUCCAAAGGUGCUUGUAUUGUUUAUUUUUCUAAUCUAUUUUAUUUUUCUCUAUUUGUGGUCCUAUAAAGUGAAUAGAAGCCUAUUUUAUAAAAAAGUUAGCAUUAGUACUUUUAAUUUUUCUAUCCUUUGAUUAUUAUCUAUUUUUUCAAGAUAAUUCGUUACAAUAUAUUUAAAUUAAGAUCUUCAAAAAUAUGAUAUUUUCUUCAUCCUUUC
RNAcentral lists this long non-coding RNA (250 nucleotides) under Physcomitrium patens. RNAcentral's name for it is "long non-coding RNA (PPAT_LNC010955)". The record is from RNAcentral. Lineage: Eukaryota; Viridiplantae; Streptophyta; Bryopsida; Funariales; Funariaceae.